The sequence is a transfer RNA, 125 nucleotides long. It matches the Rfam family "tRNA". From Rfam's summary of the family: Transfer RNA (tRNA) molecules are approximately 80 nucleotides in length. Their secondary structure includes four short double-helical elements and three loops (D, anti-codon, and T loops). Further hydrogen bonds mediate the characteristic L-shaped molecular structure. tRNAs have two regions of fundamental functional importance: the anti-codon, which is responsible for specific mRNA codon recognition, and the 3' end, to which the tRNAs corresponding amino acid is attached (by aminoacyl-tRNA synthetases). tRNAs cope with the degeneracy of the genetic code in two manners: having more than one tRNA (with a specific anti-codon) for a particular amino acid; and 'wobble' base-pairing, i.e. permitting non-standard base-pairing at the 3rd anti-codon position. The record is from Rfam.
ACCGGUGUAGCGUAGAGGAUUAAGCGUUGCUGUCACCGUCUCAAGAUGAUCGAUUCUGGACUCAUGCGCCUUGUCGCGUACCCCUCCUAAGGGUAAGGUCAAAGGUUCGACUCCUUUCUCCGGUG